GAUGAACGCUGGCGGCGUGCCUAAUACAUGCAAGUCGAGCGAACAGACGAGGAGCUUGCUCCUUUGACGUUAGCGGCGGACUGGUGAGUAACACGUGGAUGAGCUACUUAUAUGACUGGGAUCACUUCGGGAAACCGGGGCUAGUACCGGAUUAUCUCUUGAACCGCAUGGUUCAAUAGUGAUUGACGGUUUUGCUGUCACUCAUAGCUGGCUCCGGGCCGUAUUAGCUAGUUGGUAAGGUAACGGCUUACCAAGGCAACGAUCAGUGGCAGACCGGAGAGGUGGACCGGCCACCUUGGAACUGGACCACGGUCCAGCCUCCUACGGGAGGCACCAGUAGGGAAUCUCCCGCAAUGGGCGAAGGCCUGCCGGAGCAACCCCGCGUGAGUGAUGAAGGUCUCGGGAUCGUAAAACCCUGUUUUUAGGGAGAAACAAAUGGGUAAUUGACUGUGCACGUCUUGACGGUACCUAAUCAGAAAGCCACGGCUAACUACGUG
RNAcentral lists this ribosomal RNA (497 nucleotides) under uncultured bacterium. RNAcentral describes it as "partial 16S ribosomal RNA". It matches the Rfam family "Bacterial small subunit ribosomal RNA", at positions 28 to 507 of the family's 1533-position model. The record is from RNAcentral.